This 842-nucleotide ribosomal RNA is filed under the name uncultured bacterium. RNAcentral's name for it is "bacterial SSU rRNA". It matches the Rfam family "Bacterial small subunit ribosomal RNA", at positions 8 to 825 of the family's 1533-position model. The record is from RNAcentral.
AGAGUUUGAUCCUGUUUCAGAUCAAACGAUGGAGGUGUGCCUACGUAUGUAGCUUGAACGGAAUCGAGGGGGUUGCUCCUUGGUUUAGUGGCGCACGGGUGAUUAACUCGUGGAUAAUCUACCCGGGUAUCCGGGAUAACAUUUGGAAGGGAGUGUUAAUACCGGAUAAGCCCACGGGGUCUUCGGACCUUGCGGGAAAAGGUGGCCUCUGAAUAUGCUACUGUAUCAGGAUGAGUCCGCGUUCCAUUAGCUAGUUGGUGGGGUAAUGGCCCACCAAGGCGACGAUGGGUAGCUGGUCUGAGAGGAUGAUCAGCCACACUGGAACUGAGACACGGUCCAGACUCCUACGGGAGGCAGCAGUGGGGAAUUUUGCGCAAUGGGGGAAACCCUGACGCAGCAACGCCGCGUGAGUGAUGAAGGCCUUCGGGUCGUAAAGCUCUGUCAGAGGGAAAGAAGUGUAGGAGGGCUAAUACCCCUUUUACUUGACGGUACCCUCAAAGGAAGCACCGGCUAAUUCCGUGCCAGCAGCCGCGGUAAUACGGAGGGUGCGAGCGUUGUUCGGAUUUAUUGGGCGUAAAGCGCGUGUAGGCGGUUUUUUAAGUCUGAUGUGAAAGCCCCGGGCUCAACCUGGGAAGUGCAUUGGAAACUGGGAGACUUGAAUACGGGAGAGGGCAGUGGAAUUCCUGGUGUAGGAGUGAAAUCCGUAGAUAUCAGGAGGAACACCGGUGGCGAAGGCGGCUGCCUGGACCCGAUAUUGACGCUGAGACGCGAAAGCGUGGGGGAGCAAACAGGAUUAGAUACCCCUGGUAGUCCACGCGGUAAACGAUGAGUACUAGGGUGUC